CUCCACCCUUACCUCGACCCCAAAUUUCAAUCCCCACAACGUCCCCAAUUUGUUUCUCUCUACCCUCUCUCUAUUAACCACACACCAUACCCACCACCACUUGCCUACCACACAAGCCAAGUCAUCAUCGCCACGUCCACGACAUACAGUGCGGCAAAAACGUUGCACGUGGUGGCGAACAAACAAGCGGUGAAUCGUGCUAUGAAAACAUCGCUAUAAGGUGUCGCUGCUACUGCCAGCAGCGACGCCUUGCUUCGUUAUUGCAACUACAGCGAUGAGCUGCUCGUUGCUUUGUCGAUGGUCGUUGUCAUAAGAAAUGUUCGACUUCGCAUUUCUGUUGAAUGAUUUCCUAUUGACGGUAUUGAAGGGUAAGCUGUUCUCGCUCAACUGUUGUCUUCAUCUCUACUCGCCAAAUUGAACUCAAAGUUGAGAAUUCAGGGUUUGGGUUGAUAAAUUCGUGUAAUAGUGAAAGAAAAAUAUUUGAAAUUGAUUUAGUGGCUGGUUGUUUCAUCAUAUCAGUUGUUUGAUGUGGUGGUGUAGGCAUUUGUUUGAUUAGAUAUGGUGGGUGGUUGUUUCAUCACAUCUGUUAUUUAGCCAAGAUUUUGGAAUGGAUGUUGGUGUUUUGCAAAUGUUGAUAGUGAUUUCCUUAUCUAUGGGGUGGUUCUAUUGUUAUUGUUGUUGGUUCUGUUGGUGGUGCGGUAGGCGGCGAUAGUUUUUGUUGCUGAUGGUGCAGGUGGUCAUGAUGAGAUGGCUCGCGUUUGGUUCUUUUUUUUUUUUUUUAACGAGGUGUCCCAACUUGCGCCAGACUAUAUAUCCUCGUCCCUGAACCUCCGGCCUCUCUGCUGCUCAGGGAGGUAAAUCGCAGGAUGUGCCCUUGUUGGUUCCCAGGUUCCCACAUGGCUUUUACUCCUUUCCCAAAGGAAGCCUCCUCCAUGGUGAUUAAUCCACCAAUAAUUCCUCCUUUAUUGGAUCAAAGGUUCCCACAAAGAAUCGAACUCCCCACGCUUGGUUCCAGAGCCCUCCAAUGUGAUUGUUCCGCCAACUUGGAUGUGCCCUGGGGGACACAAACUAGACUCGCGUUUGGUUCUCGACAUUAUUGCGAGUGGUCGUGGUGACGGCAAUAGGGUAUAACCAAGCCUAUCUUCAUUGUAACUGUUUGUAACCAAAUUUAUGCUAAUUGUAACUAUGUGUGACUUGGUUACAUAAGUUACAAAUUAGACUGACAUGAUAUAGAUCGUCACGCUAAAGAAAAAUUUAAUCACAGUUAGUCAUAGAUAACACGGGUCGGUGAAAGGUAAUAUGUAUGAUCGUGGAUUUGAGUUGAAGGUGGUACUAAUGGUGCGUUGAAGGUGAUGGUGGUUGUAACUUUGGUACCGGUAUGCGGUUUGUAUAUAUUUGUUUGUGGUGAUCAUAUGUGACCAAGUAUAUGUUUAAUGUGAUUGGGUG
Molecule: long non-coding RNA, 1446 nt
Filed under: Olea europaea subsp. europaea
Lineage: Eukaryota; Viridiplantae; Streptophyta; Magnoliopsida; Lamiales; Oleaceae
Source: RNAcentral